This 429-nucleotide ribosomal RNA is filed under the name uncultured bacterium. RNAcentral's name for it is "bacterial SSU rRNA". It matches the Rfam family "Bacterial small subunit ribosomal RNA", at positions 355 to 776 of the family's 1533-position model. The record is from RNAcentral.
UGGGGAAUUUUGGACAAUGGGCGCAAGCCUGAUCCAGCCAUGCCGCGUGAGUGAAGAAGGCCUUCGGGUUGUAAAGCUCUUUCGGCCGGGACGAAAUCGCACCCUUUAAUACGGGGUGUGGAUGACGGUACCGGAAGAAGAAGCACCGGCUAACUACGUGCCAGCAGCCGCGGUAAUACGUAGGGUGCGAGCGUUAAUCGGAAUUACUGGGCGUAAAGCGUGCGCAGGCGGUUUUGUAAGCCAGAUGUGAAAUCCCCGGGCUUAACCUGGGAACUGCAUUUGGGACUGCAAGGCUAGAGUACGGCAGAGGGAGGUGGAAUUCCACGUGUAGCAGUGAAAUGCGUAGAGAUGUGGAGGAACACCGAUGGCGAAGGCAGCCUCCUGGGCUAGUACUGACGCUCAUGCACGAAAGCGUGGGGAGCAAACAGG